This 1089-nucleotide long non-coding RNA is filed under the name Fragaria vesca (wild strawberry). RNAcentral's name for it is "long non-coding RNA (FVES_LNC004772)". The record is from RNAcentral. Lineage: Eukaryota; Viridiplantae; Streptophyta; Magnoliopsida; Rosales; Rosaceae.
ACCCUAAAAACUUCAAAUCUUCGAUUCUUCUCGCACACACCGAAUCGAGCUACCAAAUUUUAGGGGAAUGUAGUACUAAUCAAACUCAACUUAUCCAUAUAUAGAACUCACCAAAUGGUGACCUGAGGAAGGAGAAAUUCGAUCGACACCGAAUCCGAACCGGCGGAGUUUUGGAGCUCGAUUUAUCCCUCACGGCGGCGCCACUCGAUGCACCACCUGUCCAGCAAUGAAGUAGAGACGACGGCGAAGCUUUUGGGACAAGUGUGGCGGUCUCCGGUGGCUUGACGGCGGAGCUAGGCCGAGAAGAAAAUCUGGCAGACGAAAUAGACUUCUUACCAUCCACCUUCGGUAAAACUCCUAUAUAAAGAACUUUAGCCGACGAAAUUCUUUAUUUUCGUCGGCUAAACUCUUUUGAAAAUUUUGAAAAUUUUGGUUGACCGCAAAAAAAUUUUGGUUGAAAAUUUUGAAAAUUUUUCGACUUUAGCCGACGACUUUUCAUAUAUUUUCGUCGGCUAAAGUCUUUUGAAAAUUUUCCUCCAAAUUUGGUUUACCGCCCAAAAAUUUUUGACCUUAGCCGACGACUUUUUUAAUAUCUCGUCGGCUAAAGUCUAUAAAUUCACGAAAAUGUUCAUAUCUCCCUCUAUAUUACGUAGUUUGGUCAAACCUUCCACACGAAAAACUUUCACGUAGAUGAGAUGCAACCGCCUAUGUAAAAAUUUUGAGACAUUUACCUUCCGACGAUAGGGCUCCCCAUAGGGAAUAAUAACGGUAAAUAGGGUUGAUCGCUACUAUCGGCACCGAGACUUUACCCGAUUUACGUGAUUUUUGAACCAUAGCUGUAUUUCACCAUUCUGAACACAUCUUAUUUCACGAGAUUUUUGAUAAUUUUGCUUCCUAUGUAGAGUUGGUUCACAAAGUUGUAUAACCUACUAAACAAGUUAUACAACAUUAGUAGACACGUUGUGAUUCCGAUGACUAAAAUUCACAAACCAAAAUUCGACCGUCAGAUAUGAUCAUUAUGAUGAAAGAUGUCUAUGGUAAAAAAUUCAACUGGAUCCGACAACGUUAAGGGCUCGAUCGAAACGGUCA